This 471-nucleotide ribosomal RNA is filed under the name uncultured bacterium. Its description in RNAcentral is "SSU rRNA". It matches the Rfam family "Bacterial small subunit ribosomal RNA", at positions 26 to 518 of the family's 1533-position model. The record is from RNAcentral.
AGGAUAAACGCUGGCGGCGUGCCUAACACAUGCAAGUCGAACGUCUCUUUCUUCGGGAAGAGGAGUGGCGGACGGGUGAGGAACACGUGGGAACCUGCCCUUCAGUGAGGAAUACCGGCGAGAAAUCGCCGACAAGACCGCAUAGCCCUCUCUGGUGAGAGCCAGAGAAGGAAAGCCUCGCAAGAGGCGCUGGAGGAGGGGCCUGCGUCCGAUUAGCUAGUUGGUGGGGUAAGAGCCUACCAAGGCGUCGAUCGGUAGCUGGUCUGAGAGGACGAUCAGCCACACUGGGAUUGAGAACGGCCCAGACUCCUACGGGGGCAGCAGUGAGGAAUUUUCGGCAAUGGGGGAAACCCUGACCGAGCAACGCCGCGUGCAGGAAGACACUUUUCGGAGCGUAAACUGCUUUUCUCGGGGACGAGUAAGGACGGUACCCGAGGAAUCAGCCCCGGCUAACUACGUGCCAGCAGCCGC